Molecule: ribosomal RNA, 465 nt
Filed under: Vreelandella stevensii
Lineage: Bacteria; Pseudomonadati; Pseudomonadota; Gammaproteobacteria; Oceanospirillales; Halomonadaceae
Description: partial 16S ribosomal RNA
Rfam family: Bacterial small subunit ribosomal RNA
Source: RNAcentral
CCUACGGGGGGCUGCAGUGGGGAAUAUUGGACAAUGGGGGGAACCCUGAUCCAGUCAUGCCGCGUGUGUGAAGAAGGCCCUCGGGUUGUAAAGCACUUUCAGUGAGGAAGAACGCCUGGUGGUUAAUACCCAUCAGGAAAGACAUCACUCACAGAAGAAGCACCGGCUAACUCCGUGCCAGCAGCCGCGGUAAUACGGAGGGUGCGAGCGUUAAUCGGAAUUACUGGGCGUAAAGCGCGCGUAGGUGGCUUGAUAAGCCGGUUGUGAAAGCCCCGGGCUCAACCUGGGAACGGCAUCCGGAACUGUCAAGCUAGAGUGCAGGAGAGGAAGGUAGAAUUCGCGGUGUAGCGGUGAAAUGCGUAGAGAUCGGGAGGAAUACCAGUGGCGAAGGCGGCCUUCUGGACUGACACUGACACUGAGGUGCGAAAGCGUGGGUAGCAAACAGGAUUAGAUACCCUGGUAGUC